Molecule: long non-coding RNA, 273 nt
Organism: Alosa sapidissima (American shad)
Lineage: Eukaryota; Metazoa; Chordata; Actinopteri; Clupeiformes; Clupeidae
Exons: 2
Source: RefSeq, a predicted model, not a curated record
GAAAAGUAUUGGAUUUAUAGUUGACCGCGCGACGACGUUUGAACUGUCCAGUUCAUUUUCAGCAACAGUUCAGUCAGACCAACGGGGGUGUUCAGCUCUCUGUCAAGUUCACUCCUCCUUAAUGGUGCCACUUCACUCUGCUACUGGAUGGUGGAGGGCUAACUGCGAACGGGUGGUCUAUGAAUGCUAUACUGAAUGGAUGGCAGGGAAGCACAACACACGUGAAUUUCUAAAUGAAGAAGAGUUAAUAAAUGCACUUGAUUUUCAAACUGA